CCUACGGGAGGCUGCAGUGGGGAAUCUUGGACAAUGGGCGCAAGCCUGAUCCAGCCAUGCCGCGUGAGUGAAGAAGGCCUUAGGGUUGUAAAGCUCUUUUGGCGGGGACGAUAAUGACGGUACCCGCAGAAUAAGCCCCGGCUAACUUCGUGCCAGCAGCCGCGGUAAUACGAAGGGGGCUAGCGUUGUUCGGAAUUACUGGGCGUAAAGCGCACGUAGGCGGAUUUGUAAGUCAGGGGUGAAAUCCCGGGGCUCAACCUCGGAACUGCCUUUGAUACUGCGGAUCUCGAGUCCGGAAGAGGUGAGUGGAAUUCCUAGUGUAGAGGUGAAAUUCGUAGAUAUUAGGAAGAACACCAGUGGCGAAGGCGGCUCACUGGUCCGAUACUGACGCUGAGGUGCGAAAGCGUGGGGAGCAAACAGGAUUAGAUACCCCAGUAGUC
RNAcentral lists this ribosomal RNA (440 nucleotides) under uncultured Hyphomicrobium sp. RNAcentral describes it as "bacterial SSU rRNA". It matches the Rfam family "Bacterial small subunit ribosomal RNA", at positions 338 to 795 of the family's 1533-position model. The record is from RNAcentral. Lineage: Bacteria; Pseudomonadati; Pseudomonadota; Alphaproteobacteria; Hyphomicrobiales; Hyphomicrobiaceae.